This 1150-nucleotide ribosomal RNA is filed under the name Bacillus velezensis. RNAcentral describes it as "bacterial SSU rRNA". It matches the Rfam family "Bacterial small subunit ribosomal RNA", at positions 38 to 1175 of the family's 1533-position model. Lineage: Bacteria; Bacillati; Bacillota; Bacilli; Caryophanales; Bacillaceae. The record is from RNAcentral.
GAAGGUAUGCGUAUCUGCAGUCGAGCGGACAGAUGGGAGCUUGCUCCCUGAUGUUAGCGGCGGACGGGUGAGUAACACGUGGGUAACCUGCCUGUAAGACUGGGAUAACUCCGGGAAACCGGGGCUAAUACCGGAUGCUUGUUUGAACCGCAUGGUUCAAACAUAAAAGGUGGCUUCGGCUACCACUUACAGAUGGACCCGCGGCGCAUUAGCUAGUUGGUGAGGUAACGGCUCACCAAGGCAACGAUGCGUAGCCGACCUGAGAGGGUGAUCGGCCACACUGGGACUGAGACACGGCCCAGACUCCUACGGGAGGCAGCAGUAGGGAAUCUUCCGCAAUGGACGAAAGUCUGACGGAGCAACGCCGCGUGAGUGAUGAAGGUUUUCGGAUCGUAAAGCUCUGUUGUUAGGGAAGAACAAGUACCGUUCGAAUAGGGCGGUACCUUGACGGUACCUAACCAGAAAGCCACGGCUAACUACGUGCCAGCAGCCGCGGUAAUACGUAGGUGGCAAGCGUUGUCCGGAAUUAUUGGGCGUAAAGGGCUCGCAGGCGGUUUCUUAAGUCUGAUGUGAAAGCCCCCGGCUCAACCGGGGAGGGUCAUUGGAAACUGGGGAACUUGAGUGCAGAAGAGGAGAGUGGAAUUCCACGUGUAGCGGUGAAAUGCGUAGAGAUGUGGAGGAACACCAGUGGCGAAGGCGACUCUCUGGUCUGUAACUGACGCUGAGGAGCGAAAGCGUGGGGAGCGAACAGGAUUAGAUACCCUGGUAGUCCACGCCGUAAACGAUGAGUGCUAAGUGUUAGGGGGUUUCCGCCCCUUAGUGCUGCAGCUAACGCAUUAAGCACUCCGCCUGGGGAGUACGGUCGCAAGACUGAAACUCAAAGGAAUUGACGGGGGCCCGCACAAGCGGUGGAGCAUGUGGUUUAAUUCGAAGCAACGCGAAGAACCUUACCAGGUCUUGACAUCCUCUGACAAUCCUAGAGAUAGGACGUCCCCUUCGGGGGCAGAGUGACAGGUGGUGCAUGGUUGUCGUCAGCUCGUGUCGUGAGAUGUUGGGUUAAGUCCCGCAACGAGCGCAACCCUUGAUCUUAGUUGCCAGCAUUCAGUUGGGCACUCUAAGGUGACUGCCGGUGACAAACCGGAGGAAGGUG